Molecule: long non-coding RNA, 1036 nt
Filed under: Eucalyptus grandis
Lineage: Eukaryota; Viridiplantae; Streptophyta; Magnoliopsida; Myrtales; Myrtaceae
Description: long non-coding RNA (EGRA_LNC003595)
Source: RNAcentral
AUUAAUUGACAGUUCAUAGGUCGGAAAUUCUGAAGUACUCAAUUAUCGGGCAAAAGUCAAAAUAUGAAUGCUGAAGGCUAAAGAAGUUUGGUGCCUCGUGAAGGGUUUUGAUGAACAGAACAAUGAAUGGAAGCGAGAGGAAGAGAUGAUACAGAGAGUAAAGUCGUAUAUUAUUCAAUGAGUGCUCAGUUUACAAUGAACUACUUCUCUUUUCUUCUUGCUCUUCUCUUAUCAGCUUUUAUAUCAGCUGAAGAGCUUCAACCGAAUGAAACUAACUAGCUUAACAGAACUAACUAACUAACUGAAGUAAAGAACAGAGUUUGACUUUACAAAUUGAAAAUUGAAAACUGAUUUUUCAAUGGUAAAUCAAUUUUACGAAUACUGUAAUCUCUGUUGUUGAUUUCUUUCUUUCCUUUGUUUUCAUCAGCUUUCUUAUUGCUGCUAUUGAACUCACUUUCGCCUUCUUUCUUUCCUCUGUUCUUGAAGUCUUCUUUCUCUUUCCUCUGUUUCUAUCAGCACCCAUAUCUUGUGUUAUACUCUUAACACCUCGAAUGCAACCGACAACGGCUUACCCCUAAAGCUUUCAGCAGUCUUACGAUGGAUGUCAACAAAAUACUGGGAAUCGACAAGCAUGCCAUCAGUCUUGUUUUAAAGGUCGGCGACAUCAGAUACAUAUUCUCGAGAAUAUGAGAAAACUGAGUCGAGAGGCAUUGACUCAUCAACUUGAUACUCGCUUAGCUAAUCUUUGAGUACGACUGAUCUUGAUUAACAUAAUCAAGUUGGAACAAGACGAAGAUCCUCAAUUGGAGAAAUUGCAGGACAAGCAAAUUUUACUAUCUAAGUGGACAGGUCCGAUUUGUGGUCGGCCAUAUGUUCCUAAUGAUUCAUAGUAGAAAAAGCAGGGUGCCCACAACACCAGAUUCCCAAUUUAUCCCGGGGCACUAGAAUUUAUAGGGAUUUGAGAAAAUACUCCUAGUGGAUUUAUGUGAAAAAUGAUGUCAACAAGUAAAAAGUGAGCAUCGAAAACCAGUUGGAG